CUCAGGAGGGGGAUAACGGCUGGAAGCGGCCGCUAAUACCCCAUAUGCCGCGAGGUGAAAUGAAUUUCGCCUGAGGAUGAGCUCGCGUCUGAUUAGCUAGUUGGUGGGGUAAGAGCCUACCAAGGCGACGAUCAGUAGCUGGUCUGAGAGGAUGAUCAGCCACACUGGGACUGAGACACGGCCCAGACUCCUACGGGAGGCAGCAGUGGGGAAUUUUCCGCAAUGGGCGAAAGCCUGACGGAGCAACGCCGCGUGAGGGAUGAAGGCCUCUGGGCUGUAAACCUCUUUUUUCAAGGAAGAAGAUCUGACGGUACUUGAAGAAUAAGCCACGGCUAAUUCCGUGCCAGCAGCCGCGGUAAUACGGGAGUGGCAAGCGUUAUCCGGAAUUAUUGGGCGUAAAGCGUCCGCAGGCGGCCUUGAAAGUCUGUCGUUAAAGCGUGGAGCUUAACUCCAUUUAAGCGAUGGAAACUACAAGGCUAGAGUGUGGUAGGGGCAGAGGGAAUUCCCGGUGUAGCGGUGAAAUGCGUAGAUAUCGGGAAGAACACCAGUGGCGAAGGCGCUCUGCUGGGCCAUAACUGACGCUCAUGGACGAAAGCCAGGGGAGCGAAAGGGAUUAGAUACCCCUGUAGUCCUGGCCGUAAACGAUGAACACUAGGUGUCGGGGGAAUCGACCCCCUCGGUGUCGUAGCCAACGCGUUAAGUGUUCCGCCUGGGGAGUACGCACGCAAGUGUGAAACUCAAAGGAAUUGACGGGGCCCGCACAAGCGGUGGGAGUAUGUGGUUUAAUUCGAUGCAACGCGAGAACCUUACCAGGGUUUGACAUCCUGCGAAUCUUUUGGAAACAGAAGAGUGCCUUUCGGGAGCGCAGAGACAGGUGGUGCAUGGCUGUCGUCCAGCCUCGUGUCAUGAAAGUUGGUAGUCCCGCAACGAGGCGCUACCCACGUCGUAGUU
Molecule: ribosomal RNA, 951 nt
Filed under: uncultured cyanobacterium
Lineage: Bacteria; Bacillati; Cyanobacteriota
Description: bacterial SSU rRNA
Rfam family: Bacterial small subunit ribosomal RNA
Source: RNAcentral